RNAcentral lists this ribosomal RNA (38 nucleotides) under Parazoanthus sp. 5 'Sulawesi'. Its description in RNAcentral is "partial 5.8S ribosomal RNA". The record is from RNAcentral. Lineage: Eukaryota; Metazoa; Cnidaria; Anthozoa; Zoantharia; Parazoanthidae.
GGGGGUUCUCCCAGGAGCAUGUCUGUCUGAGUGUCGGU